AUGUCAAUUGAUCUUUUGACGUACAUCCAACAGUCGUUAAGCUCUUCUCUUUCUACAUCAGAAAAAACGAGACAAGCACUGAAUCUUAGCUUCAAUAAUCUUCCUCGUUAUCUGAAGACAUGUUUGCUGUAUCUUAAUAUGUAUCCAGAGGGCCAGAUAUUCUUCAAGGAUGAUUUGGUGAAGCAAUGGGUAGCUGAAGGUUGUAUUGAUACAGCGGAAGGGCAAGACAUGGUGAAACUUGCAGAGAGCUAUCUUGAUCAACUUAUUGGCAGAAGACUCAUACUGCCUAUAUGUAUCAACUACAACAAUGAAGUGUUGUCCUGUACAGUUCAUGACAUGGUACAUGAUCUUAUUGCAUACAAGUCUGAAGAAGAAAAUUUCGUUUUGGUAAUAGACCACAGUCAAGCAAAUGUGUCACUUUCUCAUAAGGUCCGUCGACUAUCUCUCCUCUUUGGCGAUGCAAGAUAUGUCAAGAAACCAGCAAAUAUCAGAAAGUCACAAGUUCGGUCACUUAGAUUUUUUGGAUUAUCUGAGUGCAUGCCUUGCAUUAGAGAUUUCAAGCUUCUUCGUGUUCUGAAUCUCCAACUACCGGGUCAUGGUGGCGACGCUGAUGCCGACUCUUUUGAUCUCACUGGGAUCUCAGAACUGUUUCAACUGAGAUAUUUGAAGAUUGCAUGUGAUGUCUGCAUAGAGCUUCCAAACCAUGGGCUACCAUGUUUGGAAUUGCUAGAUAUUAUGGAUGCAAGAGUUGCUAGUGUUCCAUGUGAUAUCCAUCUACCACACUUGUUGCACCUCAGCCUUUCUGUCGAGAGAAAUCUGCUGGAUUGGUCUGUCAGUAAGGGGAGCCUUGGCAAGCUGAACUACCUGCAGGAUCUUCAUGUUAGCAUUGUUCCGUCUGCGCCUUCCUACGUUGUGGAGAGAAGCAUGGAAUCUCUAGGCUCUUUAAUCGGAGGACAUGGAAGCUUGAGAACUAUACAAGUGGUGGCUCAUGGCUCCUCGGUACAAAAUGCUCUGGUUCGUGGUGUGUCAAAAGUAACCAUUUCAUGGGAUGACUUGGCACCUCCCCCGUUUCUCCAGAGAUUUGAGUGUUCGCUGCAUAAGUGGCUUGGAAAACUUGGCAACCUAUGCAUUUUGAAGAUUUCAGUAAGGGAACUGAUGAUGGAUUGUAUUGAUAUUGUUAGAGGAUUGCCAGCCCUCGCCACUUUGUCGCUGUAUGUGCAGAAGGCGCCCAUUGAAAGGAUCAUCUUUGACAAAGCCGGGUUCUCAGUUCUGAGGCACUUCAAGUUGAGGUUCACGAGUGGUAUAGCUUGGCUAGUGUUUGAGGCAGAUGCAAUGCCUAAUCUCUGGAAGAUGAAGCUAGUCUUCAACGCCACCCCCCCAAUGGACCAACAUCCUUUUCUUUAUUCUUCGAAGCAAGGCGCCUUCGAACGACACCAACGUGGUACUGCAAUUAUCAGCGUCGAGCCUAUGCCAGAGCUUAGAGAGAUGUCGGUAAAAUUUGGGGGUGCAGCUGCUGAUCUAGAGUAUGCCAUGAGGACCUUCGUAAGGAACCAUCCGAGCAAUCCUACAAUCAUAGUGCAACUGGUGGAUCACAGUUCCUAUGGCGACGGAAUCACAAAACAGAGAACAUAG
Molecule: ribosomal RNA, 1632 nt
Filed under: Triticum aestivum (bread wheat)
Lineage: Eukaryota; Viridiplantae; Streptophyta; Magnoliopsida; Poales; Poaceae
Description: partial small subunit ribosomal RNA
Source: RNAcentral